Molecule: non-coding RNA, 81 nt
Organism: Cryptococcus depauperatus CBS 7841
Lineage: Eukaryota; Fungi; Basidiomycota; Tremellomycetes; Tremellales; Cryptococcaceae
Source: Rfam
GUCCCUAUCGUCUAGUGGUUAUGACGUCACAUUGUGGAGCAUUGUUCUGUGGAGGCGCUUGUUCGAUUCAGGCUAGGGACA